Molecule: ribosomal RNA, 459 nt
Filed under: uncultured bacterium
Lineage: Bacteria
Description: partial 16S ribosomal RNA
Rfam family: Bacterial small subunit ribosomal RNA
Source: RNAcentral
CCUACGGGGAGCAGCAGUGAGGAAUAUUGGUCAAUGGCCGAGAGGCUGAACCAGCCAAGUCGCGUGAGGGAAGACGGCCCUACGGGUUGUAAACCUCUUUUGUCGGGGAGCAAAGCGAGUCACGUGUGACCCAUUGAGUGUACCCUCAGAAAAAGCAUCGGCUAACUCCGUGCCAGCAGCCGCGGUAAUACGGAGGAUGCGAGCGUUAUCCGGAUUUAUUGGGUUUAAAGGGUGCGCAGGGGGAGGGGCAAGGCAGCGGUAAAAUCGCGGGGCUCAACCCCGGACUGCCGUUGAACCUGGAUGCCUUGAGUGGGCGAGAAGUAUGCGGAAUGCGUGGUGUAGCGGUGAAAUGCAUAGAUAUCACGCAGAACUCCGAUUGCGAAGGCAGCAUGCCGGCGCGAAACUGACGCUCAGGCACGAAAGCGUGGGUAUCGAACAGGAUUAGAUACCCUAGUAGUC